AUGCUCACUUCCACAGCACAUACACUAAAAUUGGAAUGGUACAGAGAUUAUCAUGGCCCCAACACAAGAAUAACAUGCAAAUUUGUGAAGCAUUCCAUUUAUAA
Small nuclear RNA from Ictidomys tridecemlineatus (thirteen-lined ground squirrel), 104 nucleotides. The record is from Ensembl. Lineage: Eukaryota; Metazoa; Chordata; Mammalia; Rodentia; Sciuridae.